RNAcentral lists this long non-coding RNA (972 nucleotides) under Homo sapiens (human). RNAcentral's name for it is "HSALNT0331362". Lineage: Eukaryota; Metazoa; Chordata; Mammalia; Primates; Hominidae. The record is from RNAcentral.
UCUUGGAGGAGCGGCUCUGAAGCGAGGGUCUGCCACUGUCGGGAGCCUAGAGGGGAAGAAGCUGGCCUGGGCCAGGCCCCAGAAGUGGACGAGAGAGGGUCUGGACAUGCUGCGCCUACUGCCGGGGCCCCUUGGACGCAGCAACAGUUUGGUUCUAAGAGCCCGUCAGCUGGUCUGAGCCAGCUUCUGACAGUUGCAGCCAAGAAUCCUAAUUCAAACGCCCACGGCUCUGCCAGGCCGCCAAGAUGGGUUCCCAUAACCUGAGCUCCCUCUCCAAUUCAGACAGACUCUGGAGGGCUCCCCAGGGAACACAUGAUUGAGCCCACUUACCAAGCCGGCAGGCUUCUCUCUCCAGGAAGGCACCAAAUUUUCAUGGACCAGCUCACAAGCUGGAGCCUGGGGUGGCUCCACACCCCAAGCAGGCAGGCUCCUUCACACAGGAGGACACCCUGGCAAGGGGUGCCUGAGAGCAGGGCCCCACAGGCCUGGGUGCUGUUCUCUAUCACCUCAUCAGGAGCAGGACCGACUGCCAAGGCCGCCGUGGUAGGGAAGUUUCUCCACAAGAUUGUGCUUAUACGUUUUGCGUUGCCAUAAAAGAACGCCGGAGACUGGGCCGUUUAUAAAGAAGAGAGGUUUAUUUGGUCCACAGUUCUGCAGGCAGUACCGGAGGCAUGGCAGCAGCAUCUGCUUGGGGCCAUGCAGUUCCCACCCAGAUGGGAACGCAGAAGUGCUGAGAAGCCUCUGGCUGCUGAGAAGGACCGGAGACGCUCAGGCAGGGCUUCACUGAGGAGGGACAUCUUCAGCUGGGAACAACUCUUCCACACAGCAUCCAUGGUGUUUGUCUACACUCCAGUUUCUCUACUGUCAAAUAAUGUCCUGGUCUGGCCAAGAGGGCACUGUCUUCUCAUCAAGCUAUGAGGGUCCCAAGGAAGAGGAGCCCAGCCAGGGAAUGGGAGAAGGGGGAGGAGUCCA